AGGGGCGGGGCCCGGGACCAGGGGCGGGAAGCAGACUCCGCCUCUCCAGCUCGAAGCGUCCCUUCCUCUUCCCGCCUCUCAGCUAGGCCUACUGACGUCGAUCAGCGCUGCCGCCCCGGACCAGUGACAGCAAAAGGUGGAGACAUGAGAGAGUCGGCUGGCUAUGCCCUAUCCUGGAGAGCUUACUGUUAGAAGAAUUCAUCUCUAAGAGACUGAAGUGGGUUACAAGAUGAACAAAAAGGACACCCCGAGUACUUCAAGGGACUUGGAGGAAUUGCAGAGGAAGCUGUCUUUGCUGAUAGAAUCCAUCCAGAAUAACUCAAAGGUGGUUGCCUUUAUGAAGUCUCCAGUGGGACAGUACCUGGACAGACAUCCUUUCACCGCCCUCACCUUGCUGGUGUUUGUCGCACUGUCGGCCGUUCCUGUGGGGUUCUUCCUGUUCCUCGUGGUGCUUACCUCCCUGGCUGCUUUUGUGGGAGUCAUAUUACUGGAAGGACUGGUCAUCUCUGUGGGCGGCCUCUCACUGCUUUGUGUCCUGUGUGGCUUGGGCUUCGUGUCACUUGUCAUAUCAACAACGAUCAUAGCGUCCUACGUGGUGGUCUCCAGCCUCAUCAACUGCACGCUUUCUUCCAGUCUCGCAAAACAACCAGAGCACAUCCAGCCUCCUUCCAUCUGUACUUAAGAUGAGGUUUCCUUCCGAGUGUUUUGUUAUCAGCCAGGAAUACUGUGGGUGGCAAGUAACAUAAAACCUAAGCACACCCCAGUUUAAACAAAUAGGAGUUUAUUUUUAUUGCAUAACGAAAAGCUGGAGCUCGCUCAGGGCCUUCUGCCUUUCUGCAUUGCCAUCUUUAGCGCAUUGGUUUGUCACCUCAUGGCCACAAGAAAGCUGCUGUGGCUCUGGUGACAGCGACUACAUUCCAGGCAGGAUGAAGGGAGGAAAAAACGAGUCCUCUCUCACCAAUUGAGUCUGGCCCUUUCUAUCAAACCACGACACAAAAGCCCAGCGGGGACUGCCAGCGGGCCAAGAAGCCCGCAGACUUAGAGGGGCUGGACCAGGAAUGACCAGCCGGCCAGACGGACCAGAGCGUUUUUCCAAUCCUCCCUGGCAGGUUGUUGGAUCUCACACGCCCCUAGGGCUUAUGACUCAGCGGGGGCUGAAUAGUCAAGCACAGUGAAGCACUCUGUGGCGCUGCCCGCAGCCUUUUCACUUGUUCGUCGGAUCCUGCAGCAACCACCCUUGGCCAUGUUGUUGCUCUUGUGUCGGGCCUGUGGGCUGACCCAGCCUCACUUGGAGAAUCAGCAGAGGACUGAUGGCUCAGUGGCUCCUCCCGCCGCUCACCCCCUUCCCCCCGGUGAUUCGGACUUGACUUUGGCGGGGUCCUGAGUGAGCCUCCAGAACUCGGCGACUUGAUCCCAAACGCUCAGGUCUUGUCCCCAAGGGCCCAGUUUGGGGCAGUCGUGGGUUGUUUUUUCUUAUUCUUUCUUCCUUUUUUGUUUUUCUUUUUUUGGAGGGGGAUGAGAGAAACAGUUUAUUUCUUCACUCAUUUCAAUCAAGAGCUGGGGGGAGUCUAAAAGAGAACAAGCUCUUCUGCCUUUUUCGCUUUUUUCCGGAAAGAACAGCACUGUUUGGCAAUAAUGGCCUCUCAGACAAAGUUGGAAAACAGUCCAAACUUCGUUUUAUGGCCAAGAGCAUUUUUUGAAAAGUCUGAAGGUGUAGUUUCCACUGUUGAGUGCUGUUACUCCUUUAAAUAUUUGCACUUGACACUUUCAUGUUGUUUUAAACAACUUGUCUUGUUAAGCCAUUUCUUGAAAGAGUCCUAUGAAAAUGCUAAAGGUCUACAGACAGUUUUAAAAUCCUAUGGGGUUUCAGCUUCAGUGGUCUAUUUGCUGUGAUUUUAUUCAAUAAAUAUUUAUUUAGAUGCACUAGUUUUCUUUAUUCUUUAUUCCCUUCCUGCC
RNA transcript from Rhinolophus ferrumequinum (greater horseshoe bat), 1956 nucleotides. It is a transcript of the gene named lipid droplet assembly factor 1, with no coding region annotated. The record is from RefSeq and is a predicted model, not a curated record. The transcript is spliced from 6 exons. NCBI's taxonomy places the organism in Eukaryota, Metazoa, Chordata, Mammalia, Chiroptera, Rhinolophidae.